This 74-nucleotide transfer RNA is filed under the name Lachnospiraceae bacterium. Its description in RNAcentral is "tRNA-Gln". It matches the Rfam family "tRNA". From Rfam's summary of the family: Transfer RNA (tRNA) molecules are approximately 80 nucleotides in length. Their secondary structure includes four short double-helical elements and three loops (D, anti-codon, and T loops). Lineage: Bacteria; Bacillati; Bacillota; Clostridia; Lachnospirales; Lachnospiraceae. RNAcentral also lists the same sequence under 1 other name. The record is from RNAcentral.
UGCCGAGUAGCCAAACGGCAAGGCACGGGACUUUGACUCCUGUAUUGCUGGUUCAACUCCAGCCUCGGUAGCCA